GCAAGGAUUGAAGAGGCUUCUUGAAGAUCUCUGUCUUCUCAAGUAGCUUAUUGGUUCAAAAGAGUUCUCAUUGAAGAGGAGGCUUGAAGUUGAGUCCGGGGUUUACACUUGAGCUGGAGAAUUUUCUGGGCUAAGGGCUAAGCUGCACGUGUGGGGGCCUUGGGCCGCAUGUGCGGGGUUGGGGCCACACGUGCAGGAGAUGAGGCCGCACGUACGGAAAAUAGGGGAGGUUCUGGGUUGGUCACUGCAAUAUAUGCAGGUAAAUAAGACCUCAAUCAUAGUAGAUGCAUCCAAGUAUAUAGAGGAGCUGAAGGGAAAAGUAGAGAGGCUAAGCCAAGAUGUUGCAAGUUCACAAAGUUCAAAUAGACAAAACUCAUUGCCAAUGCAAGUUACUGUGGAAACCUUAGAAAAGGGUUUCCUAAUUAAUGUGUUUUCA
Molecule: non-coding RNA, 436 nt
Organism: Camellia sinensis
Lineage: Eukaryota; Viridiplantae; Streptophyta; Magnoliopsida; Ericales; Theaceae
Source: RefSeq, a predicted model, not a curated record